Molecule: long non-coding RNA, 308 nt
Filed under: Mytilus galloprovincialis (Mediterranean mussel)
Lineage: Eukaryota; Metazoa; Mollusca; Bivalvia; Mytilida; Mytilidae
Source: RNAcentral
AAUUAAAUAACGCCCAUAUAAUACACUUAUCCGAAAUUGAUUGUCUGGUGUCAAUUAUCUCGUUUAAAAAUUACAUGAUUUAAGAGUGUGUGAUAUCGAUUUUCUUGAUCGGAUGGUUUACCUUGUUUAAAGGUGAGAGAGAGCAUGCUUUUUAAAGGAUGUAUGUUGAAUUUGGCGACUUUAUUUCUUUUUAUUUGGAUUUUAAACAUAUUAGGUGAAGUCAUUUCUUUAUUUAUAUUAGUUAAAGUGUUCUAGAAAUAUCUUCUUUAAGAGUGUUUUAUUUUUGGAGAAAUUAAAGUUUGAAGCAC